RNAcentral lists this long non-coding RNA (1070 nucleotides) under Salvia miltiorrhiza (redroot sage). Its description in RNAcentral is "long non-coding RNA (SMIL_LNC004671)". Lineage: Eukaryota; Viridiplantae; Streptophyta; Magnoliopsida; Lamiales; Lamiaceae. The record is from RNAcentral.
CCAUAAAGUGUAUUAUGCACCAUAAUGACUCUUAGGAUUUCAUCAGGUUAAAAUUGCCCUGAUUGGCAUCCAUACUGGGAGCACGGGUCUUAAUUUAACGUCAGCUGACACUGUUGUGUUUUUGGAGUUACACACGAACCUUGCUGAUAUUCAACAGGUGCCUUAGUAUUUCUGCUUCUUUUAAGUUUCUUUUAUGUUCAUAUUAUUUUGCAAUACUUUGAUUCUCCUAACAUUAUUUUAUGACUCUUCUUUACUGCUGCACUUUUUUGCUCUAUUCUAUGUGCUUUAGAUAUAGUUAUAUUUUUCUUACAUAUUAUAUACUAAUGAUGUGUAUUGGAUAUGUGUUGUGUGGUUUCCCAACAGGAGAUAGUUUAACAGUGAUUAUAUAGUUCAUAUCUUAUUUAUUCAAUUGAGUAGGUCAAUCAUUGGCACGUUACCUUAUGUCAAAUCCCUGAAGUUCCUUCUCUAUUAAACCUUUAUGAGUAAUUAGUUUUAAUAUAUAUUGCAUCCAAGACAAUGAGGAUGAAGUAUAUAUAUGUAUGGUUUAUAGUGAUAACCUGAUCUAAGAGACCAAAUUUGAACAUUAAUGAAAUGAUAAGCAUGAAGACUAUGUCCAUGAGUACAAUCUAUAACAGAUUGGAAUGCGAUAGGCUUGAAAAAACAAACACCUGAAUGACCUACAUAAGAGAACUAUUAGCAAUAAGGAACACAUGAAUAAUGAAGUGCUAAGAAAUUAUGUUGUGUUAAUUUCUUGUGCUGCAUUUUUAGUUUAGAUUCACAUCAUCACUCGGUGGUUUUCUUAUUUGUCUAGCAGCAUGAAGAAUAUUAUUGUAUAUUAGAAAGAAAGUGCAGAAACUCGGCCUACAUGGGAUAGUGUCAUUAAAAUAAAUCUGAAACGAACAUGGUUGGUUUCAAAGUACGUUUGUGCACAUGCGUGAUGGUCGACAUGGUGGAUCCGUGAUCAAUAUAAUCUAGGCCACUUCGAAAGCUGCUGUUAACUCCAUGACAAAUGUAAUCUUUUAUCGCGUUUCCAUCUCCGUUUUGAGAAACGGAAGUAGUGAAUACUNNNN